This 396-nucleotide ribosomal RNA is filed under the name uncultured bacterium. Its description in RNAcentral is "partial 16S ribosomal RNA". It matches the Rfam family "Bacterial small subunit ribosomal RNA", at positions 523 to 918 of the family's 1533-position model. The record is from RNAcentral.
AUACAGAGGGUGCAAGCGUUAAUCGGAUUUACUGGGCGUAAAGCGCGCGUAGGUGGCUAAUUAAGUCAAAUGUGAAAUCCCCGAGCUUAACUUGGGAAUUGCAUUCGAUACUGGUUAGCUAGAGUAUGGGAGAGGAUGGUAGAAUUCCAGGUGUAGCGGUGAAAUGCGUAGAGAUCUGGAGGAAUACCGAUGGCGAAGGCAGCCAUCGGGCCUAAUCGGGAACCUGAGGGGCGAAAGCAGGGGGAGAAAACGGGAUUAGAGGCCCUGGUAGCCCAGGCCGUAAACGAUGUCUACUAGCCGUUGGGGCCCUUGAGGCUUUAGUGGCGCAGCUAACGCGAUAAGUAGACCGCCUGGGGAGUACGGUCGCAAGACUAAAACUCAAAUGAAUUGACGGGG